UGCGCAGGCGGACUUUUAAGUCAGUGGUGAAAUCCCGAGGCUCAACCUCGGAACUGCCAUUGAUACUGGAAGUCUUGAAUUUGGUUGAAGUGGGCGGAAUGUAGCAUGUAGCGGUGAAAUGCUUAGAUAUGCUACAGAACACCGAUCGCGUAGGCAGCUCACUAAGCCAAUAUUGACGCUCAGGCACGAAAGCGUGGGGAGCAAACAGGAUUAGAUACCCUGGUAGUCC
This 229-nucleotide ribosomal RNA is filed under the name uncultured bacterium. RNAcentral's name for it is "partial 16S ribosomal RNA". It matches the Rfam family "Bacterial small subunit ribosomal RNA", at positions 568 to 796 of the family's 1533-position model. The record is from RNAcentral.